Molecule: ribosomal RNA, 758 nt
Filed under: uncultured bacterium
Lineage: Bacteria
Description: bacterial SSU rRNA
Rfam family: Bacterial small subunit ribosomal RNA
Source: RNAcentral
GAUCAUGGCUCAGGACGAACGCUGGCGGCGUGCUUAACACAUGCAAGUCACGGGGGCCCCGCGAGGGGCAACCGGCGAACGGGUGCGUAACACGUGACCAACCUGCCCUCGUGUGGGGGAUAGCCGGGCUAACGCCCGGGUAAUACCGCAUACGUUUUCUGAAGGGAGUCCUUCGGAAAGGAAAGCGCCGGCAACGGCGUGCACGGGGAGGGGGUCGCGGCCUAUCAGCUAGUUGGCGGGGUAACGGCCCACCAAGGCGACGACGGGUAGCUGGUCUGAGAGGAUGGCCAGCCACAUUGGGACUGAGAGACGGCCCAGACUCCUACGGGAGGCAGCAGUGGGGAAUCUUGCGCAAUGGUCUAACGACUGACGCAGCGACGCCGCGUGUGGGAGGACGCCUUUCGGGGUGUAAACCACUGUUGCCCGGGACGAACACCUCUUUUCGAAGAGGCUGACGGUACCGGGUGAGGAAGCACCGGCUAACUCCGUGCCAGCAGCCGCGGUAAUACGGAGGGUGCGAGCGUUGUCCGGAAUCAUUGGGCGUAAAGGGCGCGUAGGUGGCCCGGUCAGUCCGUGGUGAAAGCGCGGGGCUCAACCCUGCGUCGGCCAUGGAUACUGCCGCGGCUCGAGCACUGUAGAGGCAGGCGGAAUUCCGGGUGUAGCGGUGGAAUGCGUAGAGAUCCGGAAGAACACCGGUGGCGAAGGCGGCCUGCUGGGCAGUUUGGCUGACACUGAGGCGCGACAGCGUGGGGAGCAAA